Molecule: long non-coding RNA, 1065 nt
Organism: Cephus cinctus (wheat stem sawfly)
Lineage: Eukaryota; Metazoa; Arthropoda; Insecta; Hymenoptera; Cephidae
Exons: 2
Source: RefSeq, a predicted model, not a curated record
CACAACAAUCUCCUUCGUUCUUGUACACAGGAGUACAGCCGACAUCCUUGUAGUACAUCAAUGGUCCUGGGCACUGCACCUGAGAACAAUCUUCAAUUUGUUUCUGUGAGACUCGUUUCGUUUUAACACGCAAUCACAUAGUCUCUUCACUCGAAGCGAACACAACGAAACAGAAAAAUAGUUGGAGCAGGAGGUUAAUUCUGCCGUGUCCGUCCAUGGUUUGGCUGAUGUUCACAUUGAAGCACAUAGAACUGUCCUGCAUCUUUUAUAUCAACCUUCAAUAUGGAUAGGAGGAGAGGGAAUUGAAUGGAUUAUAAGUAGGAGGAUAUCCGAUAUAGACAGAGAGUCAAUCAUAUAAUAGAUACUAGGAAAUCCAUUGGGGAGUCUAAAACUAUUAGGUUUUGACUAAGAAAAAUAAUUUCUUUUUUUCUCACUUCGCGAAACCAAAUGCAAACAGUAAAUCCCCAUCUGUGUAAAACUGUAUCUUCUAGCUUUCUUAGGUUUAACAUACGGAUUGAUUGCAGUGAAUGGUCAUUUUUAUUAGUUGUAACUGCAACGCUUCGUUCUGCAUUUGCAGUUACAUCUCAUGAUAUUAUCUCAAUGCCAGAGCAAAGUGCAAAAUUGUCUGUUUAUCGUUCUUAAUGAAAUUAAGCUUUUUGUUAAUCGUGUCGCGGACCGGAUUUCACGAGUUAAUGGUUGCCGGAUGCUUUGUACUUGACAAUGGGUAUUGCCAGAAGAAACCUGUCCUUCCCAAGGCUAACUACUUUAUUAAAAUUGUCUUUAUGGAAAUUAUUCUUGUUGCAUUACGUGCGUCUGACUAACCUAAAUUGUUUAAUAGUUUUGCUGGAGAUAAUGUUAAAUACAAGCGCGCCAUUAAACAUCAAGGAAAUGAAUAACUGAAAAUGCAUAUGAUAAUUAUCGAGGAAUAAAAAUCGUUCGCUUAAUUAUCCCCGCACAAGAUGAUCUGCAAUAAUUAUCUUUUCUCUUAAUAUUGACAAUUUUGCCAAAAUUUAUUGUUAUUCAAUUUUUGUAGUAUCAGCUGAAUAAACAAUUAUUUCACGAGUC